UACGUAGGGUGCGAGCGUUAAUCGGAAUUACUGGGCGUAAAGCGUGCGCAGGCGGUUUUGUAAGCCAGAUGUGAAAUCCCCGGGCUUAACCUGGGAAUGGCAUUUGGGACUGCAAGGCUUGAGUGCGGCAGAGGAGACUGGAAUUCCGCGUGUAGCAGUGAAAUGCGUAGAUAUGCGGAGGAACACCGAUGGCGAAGGCAAUCCCCUGGGCCUGCACUGACGCUCAUGCACGAAAGCGUGGGGAGCAAACAGG
This 253-nucleotide ribosomal RNA is filed under the name uncultured bacterium. RNAcentral's name for it is "partial 16S ribosomal RNA". It matches the Rfam family "Bacterial small subunit ribosomal RNA", at positions 524 to 776 of the family's 1533-position model. The record is from RNAcentral.